CAUCAUUGGCAACAUGGAGGCGAGUCACCGGCGAGUUGCGACACCGGUGGCUAACUUGGAGGUGAGUUGCCGGCGAUUUGUGUCAUCGGUGACGAACAUGGAGGCGAGACAUCGGCGAGUUGUGGCACUGGUGGCGAACAUGAGGCAGCGAGCAUGUCGCGGUGCCACACUCAUGGUGAAGGCGUAGGAGGUGCGGUUCUCAUUGAAACUCCGGCGACGGCGGCAAUCGGCGUGACAAGAUGGCAUUGGCCGCCAUCUACGUGUUGCACCAACAACAUCGACGACAAGCUCGCGCUGCUUUGA
Molecule: ribosomal RNA, 303 nt
Filed under: Triticum aestivum (bread wheat)
Lineage: Eukaryota; Viridiplantae; Streptophyta; Magnoliopsida; Poales; Poaceae
Description: partial small subunit ribosomal RNA
Source: RNAcentral